CAAAACAUAGUUUACAUAAAACCUCUUGCUUACACCAAGAAAUCGUCUGUGAGACCCGGACUGCUUUGA
Molecule: transfer RNA, 69 nt
Filed under: Crinia riparia (Flinders Range froglet)
Lineage: Eukaryota; Metazoa; Chordata; Amphibia; Anura; Myobatrachidae
Description: tRNA-Val
Source: RNAcentral